GACGAACGUUGGCGGCGUGCUUAAUACAUGCAAGUCCACUGAAGCAGUGGUAGCAAUAUCGCUGUGGAGGUGGCGCACGGGUGAGUAACACGUAGGUAAUCUGCCUUCAGGUCUGGCAUAACUCCGGGAAACCGGGGCUAAUAGCAGAUGAUGCAGCGGCUCGACAUCGAGACAGUUGUUAAAGCUAUGGCGCCUGAAGAUGAGCCUGCGUCUGAUUAGCUAGUUGGCGGGGUAACGGCCCACCAAGGCAACGAUCAGUAGCUGGUCUGAGAGGAUGAUCAGCCACACUGGAACUGAGACACGGUCCAGACUCCUACGGGAGGCAGCAGUAAGGAAUAUUGCCCAAUGGGAGAAAUCCUGAAGCAGCAACGCCGCGUGAGGGACGAAGGGCUUUUGCUUGUAAACCUCUGUAGUGAGAGAAAAAAAUCCCAAUCUUUGGGACAUGAUGGUACCUCAAAAGUAAGCCCCGGCUAACUACGUG
This 481-nucleotide ribosomal RNA is filed under the name uncultured bacterium. Its description in RNAcentral is "partial 16S ribosomal RNA". It matches the Rfam family "Bacterial small subunit ribosomal RNA", at positions 28 to 507 of the family's 1533-position model. The record is from RNAcentral.